RNAcentral lists this long non-coding RNA (198 nucleotides) under Penaeus japonicus. RNAcentral's name for it is "uncharacterized LOC122265169". The record is from RNAcentral. Lineage: Eukaryota; Metazoa; Arthropoda; Malacostraca; Decapoda; Penaeidae.
UGGCGGUAAACUUUUCGUUUAAUAAAUAUUCACCAUAAAUAUAGUCUUAUUUGUUUCAAUUAGGCAUAGGCAGGGGCGGGCUUGUAGGCAGGGGCGGGCUUGUAUGCAGGGGCGGGCUUGUAGGCAGGGGCGGGCUUGUACUCGGGGUACUGGGCCUCACCCUCGUAGCUGACCUCAGCCACGUAGCCAGAGUCGCCG